RNAcentral lists this ribosomal RNA (448 nucleotides) under uncultured Rhodoferax sp. RNAcentral describes it as "bacterial SSU rRNA". It matches the Rfam family "Bacterial small subunit ribosomal RNA", at positions 929 to 1382 of the family's 1533-position model. The record is from RNAcentral. Lineage: Bacteria; Pseudomonadati; Pseudomonadota; Betaproteobacteria; Burkholderiales; Comamonadaceae.
GCGGUGGAUGAUGUGGAUAAUUCGAUGCAACGCGAAAACCUUACUACCCCUGACAUGUCUGGAACCUUGGUGAGAGCCGAGGGUGCCUUCGGGAGCCAGAACACAGGUGCUGCAUGGCUGUCGUCAGCUCGUGUCGUGAGAUGUUGGGUUAAGUCCCGCAACGAGCGCAACCCUCGUCAUUAGUUGCUACAUUCAGUUGGGCACUCUAAUGAGACUGCCGGUGACAAGCCGGAGGAAGGUGGGGAUGACGUCAAGUCCUCAUGGCCCUUAUAGGUGGGGCUACACACGUCAUACAAUGGCUGGUACAAAGGGUUGCCAACCCGCGAGGGGGAGCCAAUCCCAUAAAGCCAUUCGUAGUCCGGAUCGCAGUCUGCAACUCGACUGCGUGAAGUCGGAAUCGCUAGUAAUCGUGAAUCAGAAUGUCACGGUGAAUACGUUCCCGGGCCUU